This 403-nucleotide ribosomal RNA is filed under the name uncultured bacterium. RNAcentral describes it as "partial 16S ribosomal RNA". It matches the Rfam family "Bacterial small subunit ribosomal RNA", at positions 30 to 526 of the family's 1533-position model. The record is from RNAcentral.
AUUGAACGCUGGCGGCAGGCCUAACACAUGCAAGUCGAGCGAGCGGCGGACGGGUGAGUAAUGUAUGGGGACUGCCCGAUAGAGGGGGAUAACUACGGGAACCGGUAGCUUAUACCGCAUACUUCCGAGAAACCAACAGGGGAUUAGCUAGUAGGGGAGGUAAUGGCUCAACUAGGCUACGAUCCCUAGCUGGUCUGAGAGGAUGAUCAGGCACACUGAGACUGAGACACGGCCCAGACUCCUACGGAGGCAGCAGUGGGGAAUAUUGCACAAUGGGCGCAAGCCUGAUGCAGCAAUGCCGGGUGUAUGAAGAAGGGCUUAGUGUUGUAAAGUACUUUCAUUCGGGAGGCGUUACCGACAGAAGAAGCACCGGCUAACUCCGUGCCAGCAGCCGCGGUAAUUC